GGGAAUGUAGUUCAGUGGUAGGGUGCUUGCUUAGCAUGCAAGAGUCCCUGGAUUCAAUCCCCAGAAACACUCUCC
Molecule: transfer RNA, 75 nt
Filed under: Marmota monax (woodchuck)
Lineage: Eukaryota; Metazoa; Chordata; Mammalia; Rodentia; Sciuridae
Description: tRNA.Ala
Source: RNAcentral